UACGGAGGGUGCAAGCGUUGUUCGGAAUCAUUGGGCGUAAAGCGCGUGUAGGCGGCUUGGCAAGUCGGUUGUGAAAGCCCGGGGCCCAACCCCGGAACUGCAUCUGAAACUGCCUGGCUAGAGUCCCGGAGAGGAAGGCAGAAUUCCCGGUGUAGGGGUGAAAUCCGUAGAUAUCGGGAGGAACACCAAUGGCGAAGGCAGCUCGCUGGGACGUUACUGACGCUGAGACGCGAAAGCGUGGGGAGCAAACAGG
This 253-nucleotide ribosomal RNA is filed under the name uncultured bacterium. Its description in RNAcentral is "partial 16S ribosomal RNA". It matches the Rfam family "Bacterial small subunit ribosomal RNA", at positions 524 to 776 of the family's 1533-position model. The record is from RNAcentral.